GAGGUACCAGGAAUAAACUUCACCAUGUGGCUGUGGAACGACUCCAGAGAUGUGGCAUGGCCCCUGCGCAAGGAUGACACGCAAAUUCGUGAAGCGUUCCAUAUUUUU
Molecule: small nuclear RNA, 108 nt
Filed under: Lottia gigantea (owl limpet)
Lineage: Eukaryota; Metazoa; Mollusca; Gastropoda; Lottiidae
Source: RNAcentral